Molecule: long non-coding RNA, 528 nt
Organism: Oxyura jamaicensis (ruddy duck)
Lineage: Eukaryota; Metazoa; Chordata; Aves; Anseriformes; Anatidae
Exons: 3
Source: RefSeq, a predicted model, not a curated record
CGGUGCGGGUGCGGUGCCGGUGCAGGGCUGGCAGCGGGUGUGGGUGCAGGUGCGGGUCCUGGCCUGGGAGCGGAGCCGGGAGCCGGGAUAUAAAUUCUUGGCUAAAGGGGGAACCGCCGCCGAGCGGGGUCCGCCCGGGGAACCCUUCAGGGCGUCGUGGGCAGCCUUUGGGCUUGGCGCGCCCCAAACGAGGCGUCCACCUUAACGAUUCGUAUCGUCGCUAUUAUCGGCGGUAACGUCUGUGAACCCGAGCAGCUUCCAGCUCGCGGUGCUGCGCCGUGUCGCUACAGCGGCUGCCGCGCGAUCUCGGUUCAUUUUCUCUAAGCAAUACAAGUUCACGGACGCGCUACCUAGCCAGCCCUCCUCUCCCGUCAUGGACCUCCCAGGGUGCGCGACGCCCGCCGUCUGAGGAGGCUCCUUCGCCCCGCGCGGAGGAAGAGGAGGAGGAGGAGGAGAAGGAGGAGGCAGAGGAGGAGAAGGGAGGAAGGCGCGGCCCCAGCCGCCGCCGCCCAGCCACCGUCCCGCAGA